Molecule: long non-coding RNA, 1777 nt
Organism: Homo sapiens (human)
Lineage: Eukaryota; Metazoa; Chordata; Mammalia; Primates; Hominidae
Exons: 2
Source: RefSeq, a predicted model, not a curated record
CCUCAAGUGUCAAAUAGGGAUAAUGACAAUAUCUGCCCCUACCUCACCAGGUUGUCGUGGGGAGUGAACAAGGUGAGUGGCCCUCACCUACAGACUCAACAUAUGGCCUUUGGCUCUUCCCACUUCCAAGAGUCUUGGAAGGGAUGGGUCGAGCAAGCAGAGGAAAGGAAGAUGUGAGUUCCCAAAAUGCUCCUCACCUUUUUCUUCUGAGUGGGCUCCUUCUCACUGGCAUUGGAGGGCUUGCGGCGCAGCAUGGUCCUCCACCCUGGGAGACUCCGUCCCUGCUCUCCUAGGUGUCAAGAUGCAGAGGCCUCUUGCUUAGCCUCACCAGAACUGCCCGGGGGCACGGCAUGAACCGAGCCUUCAGCUGCCACUCUGACUGCUGCAGUGGCAGCUUGGGGGUGCGGGCCAUGGACACCCGGCAGCAGCAGCAUACAGGAAGCCCUGCCACGUGACCUACUCUUACAGCAAUCGCAGCCCCUGCCGGCCCCUAGGGAGGAAGGAAGUCCAAGCUUCAGUCUCCAGAGAUUCUGAUGCAGACGGCUCUUGGGUUGAACAGUCAGAGAAAGUCCCUACCUUGUUGUCUCAUGUCGAUCAUCAUCAGUCCUUCUGCUCCAUCUUCCUAGAGGUGGACAAUCAGCUCGACAUUAUAUGGCGUACCCAAGCCCUUUAUCUCACUGACCAGAAUCCAGAAACCAGAAGUUGGACCAUCUGGCUGCCUGUUGGAUCAAUGCUCCCGGUCAACUCACGUCUUCAAGGUCGUCACUGCCAUCACUACCACUACCAUCACCCCUGUGACCAUCACCACUGCUACCAUCACUCCUAUCAAUAGCCAUCACCAUACAGCCAUCACCCCUACAGCCAUCAGGCCUGCAGCCAUCCCCGCUGCCAUCAGCACACCUAUAGCCAUUGUCACUAUGGUAAUCACCUCUACAGUUGACAUCCUUCAGCCAUCACCUCUACAGUCAUCACCAUUGCUGCUAUCACCCUUCCAGCCAUCAUCCUUACAGCUGUCACCCUUCUGGACAUUACAGCCAACCGCACUCAUGACCCUCUCACCCCUAUAACCAUCGUCCCUACAGUCAUCUCUCCUACAACCAUCAUCACAUCCGUGCAGCCAUCAGCCCUGCAGCCAUCACUCCUACAGCCAUCAGUACACCUAAAGCCAUCAUCACUAGAGCAGUCACCCCUCCAGUCAGUACCCCUCAGCCAUCAUGAGUAUAUUUAUCACCACCACAGCUGAAAAGCACUUACAGCCAACUCCACACCUCUAGCAAGUAUCCAACAGGCAUUUAUCAAACACCUAUGCAGUAUAUUCAAUUUGUGGGUUGUCUGUGGCAGAUUUUAAUAACUUUAAUAACUUCUUGGUAUUACAAAAGCAACUUGUAUUUGUCAUACAAUUUCACAAACACAUAAACAAAAAAAAUUUCAAAAUUUCCCAUCAUUGUCCUCUACACUGUUUUAAGCAUCUAUCUACUCUCUGUCUAUAAACAUUUUUUUUCUUUUUACAAAAAUCAUACUGCUCAGAAAACAGAUAAUUGGUUUGGGGAGAAGGGGAGGGGAGAGAAGGGAAGGGAGACAUCACACAGGGUAACAGGAAGCUUUUAGGAGUGAUGAAUAUGUUCACUAUCUUGACUGUGGUGAUGAUUUCAUGGGGGAAUACACAUGUCAAAACGUAUCAAAUUGUAUACUUCAAAUAUGUGCAGUUUAUUGUAGCUCCAUUAUACCUCAAUAAAGCUGUUUAAAAUUUUUUAAUUAAAAAAGGUCAUAAUUCACA